This 1359-nucleotide ribosomal RNA is filed under the name uncultured bacterium. Its description in RNAcentral is "bacterial SSU rRNA". It matches the Rfam family "Bacterial small subunit ribosomal RNA", at positions 28 to 1381 of the family's 1533-position model. The record is from RNAcentral.
GAUGAACGCUAGCUACAGGCUUAACACAUGCAAGUCGAGGGGCAGCAUUUCAGUUUGCUUGCAAACUGGAGAUGGCGACCGGCGCACGGGUGAGUAACACGUAUCCAACCUGCCGAUAACUCGGGGAUAGCCUUUCGAAAGAAAGAUUAAUACCCGAUGGUAUAAUCAGACCGCAUGGUCUUGUUAUUAAAGAAUUUCGGUUAUCGACGGGGAUGCGUUCCAUUAGGCAGUUGGUGAGGUAACGGCUCACCAAACCUUCGAUGGAUAGGGGUUCUGAGAGGAAGGUCCCCCACAUUGGAACUGAGACACGGUCCAAACUCCUACGGGAGGCAGCAGUGAGGAAUAUUGGUCAAUGGGCGCAGGCCUGAACCAGCCAAGUAGCGUGAAGGAUGACUGCCCUAUGGGUUGUAAACUUCUUUUAUAUGGGAAUAAAGUUUUCCACGUGUGGAAUUUUGUAUGUACCAUAUGAAUAAGGAUCGGCUAACUCCGUGCCAGCAGCCGCGGUAAUACGGAGGAUCCGAGCGUUAUCCGGAUUUAUUGGGUUUAAAGGGAGCGUAGGUGGACAGUUAAGUCAGUUGUGAAAGUUUGCGGCUCAACCGUAAAAUUGCAGUUGAUACUGGCUGUCUUGAGUACAGUAGAGGUGGGCGGAAUUCGUGGUGUAGCGGUGAAAUGCUUAGAUAUCACGAAGAACUCCGAUUGCGAAGGCAGCUCACUGGACUGCAACUGACACUGAUGCUCGAAAGUGUGGGUAUCAAACAGGAUUAGAUACCCUGGUAGUCCACACAGUAAACGAUGAAUACUCGCUGUUUGCGAUAUACAGUAAGCGGCCAAGCGAAAGCAUUAAGUAUUCCACCUGGGGAGUACGCCGGCAGCGGUGAAACUCAAAGGAAUUGACGGGGGCCCGCACAAGCGGAGGAACAUGUGGUUUAAUUCGAUGAUACGCGAGGAACCUUACCCGGGCUUAAAUUGCAUUUGAAUAUAUUGGAAACAGUAUAGCCGUAAGGCAAAUGUGAAGGUGCUGCAUGGUUGUCGUCAGCUCGUGCCGUGAGGUGUCGGCUUAAGUGCCAUAACGAGCGCAACCCUUAUCUUUAGUUACUAACAGGUCAUGCUGAGGACUCUAGAGAGACUGCCGUCGUAAGAUGUGAGGAAGGUGGGGAUGACGUCAAAUCAGCACGGCCCUUACGUCCGGGGCUACACACGUGUUACAAUGGGGGGUACAGAAGGCAGCUACCUGGUGACAGGAUGCUAAUCCCAAAAGCCUCUCUCAGUUCGGAUCGAAGUCUGCAACCCGACUUCGUGAAGCUGGAUUCGCUAGUAAUCGCGCAUCAGCCAUGGCGCGGUGAAUACGUUCCCGGGCCU